AUGGGUUCGCUCACGAAGGCGGCGGAGGAGGGGCCGUCCGCGGCGGUGGACUGGUCAGACGAGGCGGUCAUCUACGUCAACGGCGUCCGCCGCGUGCUUCCCGACGGCCUCGCCCACCUCACCCUCCUCCAGUACCUCAGAGAUAUCGGUCUUCGAGGAACAAAGCUUGGAUGUGGUGAAGGCGGUUGUGGUGCCUGCACUGUCAUGGUCUCAUGCUAUGAUCAAACUACAAAGAAAUCACAGCAUUAUGCAAUAAACGCCUGCCUGGCUCCACUUUAUUCUUUGGAAGGAAUGCACAUAAUCACAGUAGAGGGAAUUGGAGAUCGCCAGCGAGGUUUGCACCCAGUCCAGGAACGUUUAGCCGAGGCACAUGGUUCACAAUGUGGAUUUUGCACCCCUGGUUUUGUGAUGUCCAUGUAUGCACUGCUGAGAUCAAGUAAACAUCCUCCUACUGAAGAGCAGAUUGAAGAUAGCCUUGCAGGAAAUUUGUGUCGCUGUACUGGCUACAGACCAAUAAUAGAUGCCUUCCGCGUCUUUGCAAAAACGGAUGAUUCCUUGUACACAGCUUCACCUUCAGAAAAGGCUAAUGGCCAAGCUAUCUGCCCUUCAACUGGAAAGCCAUGUUCAUGCAGAAAUGAGACAGAUGUCAAUGCUAAUGAAUCUUCAACAUUGUCUUCCGUGAAAGUCUACUUACCUUGUUCAUACAACGAAAUCGAUGGAAAUUCAUACAGCGAGAAGGAGCUCAUUUUCCCCCCAGAACUGCAGUUGAGAAAAUUUAUGCCACUUAAAUUGAAUGGGUUUAAUGGGAUCAGAUGGUAUAGACCUCUUAAAUUAGAGCAGCUACUGUACUUGAGAUCUUGCUACCCAGAUGCAAAACUUAUCAUUGGUAACUCCGAAGUGGGAGUUGAAACAAAGUUCAAGAAUGCUCAAUAUAAGGUCAUGAUCUCAGUUACCCAUGUUCCAGAACUUCAUACCCUCAAAGUGGAAGAACAUGGCUUACACAUUGGUUCUGCAGUUAGACUCGCACAGCUCCAGAAGUUCCUCAAAAAUGUUAUUGCGGAGCGUGGUUCUCAUGAAACUUCGUCUUGCCACGCAAUACUACGGCAGUUAAAAUGGUUUGCAGGAACACAAAUCAGGAAUGUUGCUUCUGUUGGUGGUAAUAUUUGUACUGCUAGUCCAAUAUCAGAUCUAAACCCACUUUGGAUGGCCACUGGUGCAAAUUUCCAGAUAAUUGAUGUCAACAAUAAUGUUAGGACUACUGCUGCAAAAGAUUUCUUUCUUGGCUAUCGCAAAGUUGAUUUAAAGGCUGAUGAAGUAUUGCUCUCUGUUAUACUACCAUGGACAAGACCAUAUGAAUAUGUAAAAGAAUUUAAACAGGCACAUAGAAGGGAGGAUGACAUUGCUUUGGUGAAUGCUGGAAUGCGUAUGCAUAUAACAGAAGCUGAAGGAAACUGGAUAGUAUCUGAUGUCUCUAUUGUCUACGGAGGGGUAGCUGCGGUUCCACUUACUGCUGCAAAAACUGAAAAAUUCCUUGUUGGAAAGAAGUUGGAUGAUGGAUUGCUGGAUGAGACCUUUAAUUUAUUAAAAGAGGACAUCCCACUAGCAGAGAAUGCACCAGGUGGAAUGGUUGAAUUUCGCAGUUCACUCACUUUGAGUUUCUUUUUCAAAUUUUUCCUUUAUGUUACGCAUGAGAUGAACAUUAAAGGGUUAUCGAAGGUUGGGCUGGAUGCAGCUAAUAUGUCAGCUAUACAGUCUUACACUAGACCUGUUUCUAUUGGAGCUCAAGGUUAUGAAUCAGUAGGGCAAGGAACUGCUGUGGGACAACCAAUGGUUCAUAUGUCAGCUAUUCUUCAGGUCACUGGUGAGGCAGAAUAUGUUGAUGACACACCAACACCCCCGAAUAACUUACAUGCCGCUCUGGUGCUGAGUAAGAAGGCUCAUGCUCGCAUUUUGUCUAUCGACGAUUCAGUUGCCAAAUGUUCCCCUGGGUUUGCUGGUCUCUUUCUUUCAAAAGAUGUGCCUGGUUCCAACCAUAUUGGGCCAAUUAUCCAUGACGAGGAGGUUUUUGCAUCUGAUAUUGUUACUUGUGUUGGCCAGAUUAUUGGAAUUGUUGUGGCAGAUACCCAUGAUAACGCAAAAGUUGCUGCAAAUAAAGUAAAUAUCGAGUAUUCUGAGCUGCCAGCAAUCCUCUCAAUAUCGGAAGCUGUCAAAGCUGGUAGCUUUCAUCCCAAUACCACAAGAUGCCUUUCAAAUGGGGAUGUUGACCAAUGUUUUGCAUCCAAUACAUGCGAUAAAAUUAUAGAAGGAGAAAUUCGAGUCGGGGGUCAAGAGCACUUCUACAUGGAACCUCAAUGCACUUUUGUCUGGCCAGUUGAUUCUGGAAAUGAAAUUCAUAUGAUAUCAUCUACGCAAGCUCCCCAGAAGCAUCAGAAGUAUGUCGCUAAUGCUCUUGGUCUUCCACUAUCAAAAGUUGUUUGCAAGACUAAGCGUAUUGGUGGCGGAUUUGGUGGAAAGGAAACUAGAUCAGCAAUAUUUGCUGCCGCGGCAUCUGUAGCUUCCUAUUGUCUAAGAAGGCCAGUAAAGAUUGUUUUGGACAGGGACGUUGACAUGAUAACGACUGGACAGAGGCACAGUUUCCUAGGGAAAUAUAAGCUUGGAUUUACCAAUGACGGGAAGAUACAGGCCUUAGAUCUCGAAAUUUACAACAACGGUGGUAACUCACUAGAUCUGUCCCUUGCAGUCUUGGAACGUGCUGUUUUCCAUUCGGAAAAUGUGUACGCUAUACCAAAUAUCAGAGUCAGUGGGAAAGUAUGCUUUACAAAUUUCCCAAGCAAUACUGCUUUUAGAGGUUUUGGUGGUCCACAAGGCAUGUUGAUUGCAGAGAAUUGGAUUCAUCACAUGGCUACAGAACUCAAGCAGAGUCCAGAGGAGAUAAAAGAACUUAAUUUCCAAAGUGAGGGAACUGAGCUUUAUUAUGGCCAGUUGCUCCAGAAUUGUACAAUGCAUUCGGUUUGGGAUGAACUGAAGGCAUCUUGUAAUAUUUUGGAGGCUCGCAAAGCUGUAAAUGUUUUUAACAGUGAAAAUCGUUGGAGGAAGCGAGGCAUUGCUAUGGUUCCCACAAAAUUUGGCAUAUCCUUCACUGCAAAAUUUAUGAAUCAGGCUGGUGCUCUUGUGCAAGUUUACACUGAUGGUACUGUCCUGGUAACGCAUGGCGGGGUUGAGAUGGGACAGGGUUUACACACAAAGAUAGCCCAAGUUGCCGCCUCAUCACUAGAUAUCCCUCUAAACUGUGUAUUUAUCUCAGAGACAAGUACCGAUAAGGUUCCAAAUGCUUCACCAACAGCAGCCUCUGCCAGUUCGGAUUUGUAUGGUGCUGCAGUUUUGGAUGCUUGUCAGCAAAUAAAGGCUCGGAUGGAACCCAUUGCUAGUAGGGGGAAUCAUAAGUCCUUCGCUGAGUUAGCUCAAGCAUGCUACAUGGAACGGGUAGAUCUUUCUGCUCAUGGGUUUUAUAUCACCCCUGAUAUCGGGUUUGACUGGAUUGCUGGCAAGGGGAGUCCAUUUAAUUAUUUCACCUAUGGAGCCGCAUUUGCAGAAGUUGAGAUUGACACCCUAACUGGGGAUUUCCACACAAGGACAGCUGAUAUUGUCAUGGAUCUCGGCUAUUCGAUUAAUCCAGCAAUUGAUAUUGGCCAGAUCGAAGGAGCUUUCAUCCAAGGUUUGGGUUGGGCUGCCAUGGAAGAGUUAAAAUGGGGGGACGACAACCACAAGUGGAUUCGACCUGGACACCUUUUUACUUGUGGUCCUGGCUCUUACAAAAUACCCUCUGUAAAUGAUAUACCUCUCAAUUUCAAGGUUUCACUAUUGAAGGGUGUUCCAAAUCCAAGGGCCAUACACUCAUCCAAGGCUGUAGGAGAGCCACCGUUCUUCCUCGCUUCCGCCGUCUUGUUUGCGAUAAAAGACGCGAUCGCGGCGGCUAGGGCGGAGGAGGGCCAUCUCGACUGGUUCCCCCUCGACAACCCGGCAACGCCUGAAAGGAUAAGGAUGGCGUGUGUUGACUCCAUUACGAAGAAAUUUGCGAGUGUGUAUUACCGUCCCAAGCUUAGUGUAUAG
RNAcentral lists this ribosomal RNA (4110 nucleotides) under Triticum aestivum (bread wheat). RNAcentral describes it as "partial small subunit ribosomal RNA". The record is from RNAcentral. Lineage: Eukaryota; Viridiplantae; Streptophyta; Magnoliopsida; Poales; Poaceae.